RNAcentral lists this ribosomal RNA (457 nucleotides) under uncultured bacterium. Its description in RNAcentral is "partial 16S ribosomal RNA". It matches the Rfam family "Bacterial small subunit ribosomal RNA", at positions 29 to 507 of the family's 1533-position model. The record is from RNAcentral.
AUAAACGCUGGCGGCGUGCAUGAGACAUGCAAGUCGAACGAAGGAUCGGGCUUGCUCGAUCCUUAGUGGCGGACGGCUGAGUAACGCGUAGGUGACCUACCCCGAAGUGGGGAAUAACUGCCCGAAAGGGUGGCUAAUACCGCAUGUGGUCGCACGUUCAUUCGUGCGAGUAAAGCCGCAAGGCGCUUCGGGAGGGGCCUGCGUCCGAUUAGCUCGUUGGUGGGGUAAUGGCUUACCAAGGCGACGAUCGGUAGGUGGUCUGAGAGGACGAUCACCCAGACUGGGACUGAGACACGGCCCAGACUCCUACGGGAGGGAGCAGGCGGGAAUUUUGCUCAAUGGGGGAAACCCUGAAGCAGCAACGCCGCGUGAGGGAUGAAGGCCUUCGGGUUGUAAACCUCUUUUGUCAGGGACGAUGAUGACGGUACCUGGCGAAUAAGCCACGGCUAACUACGUG